This 812-nucleotide ribosomal RNA is filed under the name uncultured Flavobacterium sp. RNAcentral describes it as "bacterial SSU rRNA". It matches the Rfam family "Bacterial small subunit ribosomal RNA", at positions 392 to 1207 of the family's 1533-position model. The record is from RNAcentral. Lineage: Bacteria; Pseudomonadati; Bacteroidota; Flavobacteriia; Flavobacteriales; Flavobacteriaceae.
CCAUGCCGCGUGCAGGAUGACGGUCCUAUGGAUUGUAAACUGCUUUUGCACAGGAAGAAACACUCGGUCGUGACCGAGCUUGACGGUACUGUGAGAAUAAGGAUCGGCUAACUCCGUGCCAGCAGCCGCGGUAAUACGGAGGAUCCAAGCGUUAUCCGGAAUCAUUGGGUUUAAAGGGUCCGUAGGCGGUUUAGUAAGUCGGUGGUGAAAGCCCAUCGCUCAACGGUGGAACGGCCACUGAUACUGCUAGACUUGAAUUAUUAGGAAGUAACUAGAAUAUGUAGUGUAGCGGUGAAAUGCUUAGAGAUUACAUGGAAUACCAAUUGCGAAGGCAGGUUACUACUAAUGGAUUGACGCUGAUGGACGAAAGCGUGGGUAGCGAACAGGAUUAGAUACCCUGGUAGUCCACGCCGUAAACGAUGGAUACUAGCUGUUGGGUGCAAACUCAGUGGCUAAGCGAAAGUGAUAAGUAUCCCACCUGGGGAGUACGUUCGCAAGAAUGAAACACAAAGGAAUUGACGGGGGCCCGCACAAGCGGUGGAGCAUGUGGUUUAAUUCGAUGAUACGCGAGGAACCUUACCAAGGCUUAAAUGUAGAUUGACCGGUUUGGAAACAGAUCUUUCGCAAGACAAUUUACAAGGUGCUGCAUGGUUGUCGUCAGCUCGUGCCGUGAGGUGUCAGGUUAAGUCCUAUAACGAGCGCAACCCCUGUUGUUAGUUGCCAGCGAGUCAUGUCGGGAACUCUAACGAGACUGCCAGUGCAAACUGUGAGGAAGGUGGGGGAUGACGUCAAAUCAUCACGGGCCCUUACGC